This 59-nucleotide ribosomal RNA is filed under the name Steinernema kraussei. RNAcentral describes it as "partial 28S ribosomal RNA". It matches the Rfam family "Eukaryotic large subunit ribosomal RNA", at positions 12 to 70 of the family's 3401-position model. The record is from RNAcentral. Lineage: Eukaryota; Metazoa; Nematoda; Chromadorea; Rhabditida; Steinernematidae.
CAAGCAAGACUACCCGCUGAACUUAAGCAUAUCAGUAAGCGGAGGAAAAGAAACUAACU